AAAUUAUAACAAGACUUCUUUGUUUAUCUUCUCCCUGGCUUCCGCAGCCGGUCUGAGUCGGGAUAAAUUCAGCACAGGAGGAAAAUGCAGCAUUUCCUCCCCCUCUCCUCCCAUUUUAGGUGAGAGGAGGAGGUGGCAUGGGGGAUAGAGAAAGAUCUGGCAAGCUCGCCAGCUGGUUGCCUCUUUAGAUGUGCCAUGAGGUACCGGAGGGUUUCGCAGUGAGCAGGUGGCAGUAGUUUCAGUGCUUCAUGAAGGGUUUCCAAUUGCUCAUCCGGAUCCAUAAUUUCUAA
RNAcentral lists this long non-coding RNA (290 nucleotides) under Homo sapiens (human). Its description in RNAcentral is "HSALNT0043396". Lineage: Eukaryota; Metazoa; Chordata; Mammalia; Primates; Hominidae. The record is from RNAcentral.